RNAcentral lists this ribosomal RNA (202 nucleotides) under Clostridioides difficile. RNAcentral describes it as "partial 16S ribosomal RNA". It matches the Rfam family "Bacterial small subunit ribosomal RNA", at positions 1091 to 1294 of the family's 1533-position model. The record is from RNAcentral. Lineage: Bacteria; Bacillati; Bacillota; Clostridia; Peptostreptococcales; Peptostreptococcaceae.
AACGAGCGCAACCCUUGUCUUUAGUUGCCAUCAUUAAGUUGGGCACUCUAGAGAGACUGCCAGGGAUAACCUGGCGGAAGGUGGGGAUGACGCCAAAUCAUCAUGCCCCUUAUGCUUAGGGCUACACCCGUGCUACAAUGGGUAGUACCGAGGGUUGCCAAGCCGUCAGGUGGCGCUAACCCCUUCAAGCUACUCUCAGUUC